Scylla paramamosain (green mud crab) is the source of this 3378-nucleotide long non-coding RNA. RefSeq lists it as uncharacterized. The transcript has 6 exons. NCBI's taxonomy places the organism in Eukaryota, Metazoa, Arthropoda, Malacostraca, Decapoda, Portunidae. The record is from RefSeq and is a predicted model, not a curated record.
AGAAAUGGAAGGAAGAUACGAAACAAGAGCGUGCUGUUCUCCUACCAGACUCAUGAAUGGCCACGGUGAAAGUGCAGGUGAAAAAUGUGGAGCGUUGUGAGAUAAUACAGCCAUGGACGCCAAACGUGACGCAUCUUCUUGUCAGACACCACAGCAGUUGCCGCUUGCCGCUCUCGUCCAGCCCUACAAUGCGUUGCCAAUCCAUAAUCAGCUCUUUCUGCGCGAUGGUGAUGGUCAGGAUUGGCCCUUAUAUCUCAAGUUAUAGUUGAGGCCAGUCACAAUAUCAGAAAAGAGAAUGGGAUUUAGACUGUGGGUCUACAGUUCAAAUGAUUACCCCAAAAUCCUUUCUUGUGGAAUGGAAAUACAUGACAGCUUACAAGACUGGUGUAAGGAACCAAGUGUCAUUGGCAUGUUGGAGAUGAUUAACAAAGGAUAGGGUAACAAUACAUUAUUUGUCAAUCCAGCACACAUUUAGACAAUGCCAACAACUUUCAAGUCAUUCAUCAUUCAACUUGGCAGCAGCCUCAACAUCAGCCAGAUUCUACCUGAGGUGUCCUAUCACUGCUGGCCUGGUUGUGACACACCAAUGAGUUCAAGAUGCGUGUUGUUUUAUGAUGCAAGACCAAACAUGCUCAUUCAAGAUUAUGCUAUGUAAGAGGUGUAACCUGUACCCAUACUCUGAAAUACUUAGGAUUUUCAUAAGGAUUAUUUCCACCAGAUGAUUAGCUUGGUUCUCAUUAAUAUUUUCUUCAUUGAUGAUGAAACUAAGAAUAUUUUCUUCAUUGAUGAUGAAACUAAGAAUAUUUUCUUCAUUGAUGAUGAAACUAAGAUUAUAAAUUUUAUAUAUAGUCACAGCAAUUAAAAUGUAGAGAGAGAGAGAGAGAGAGAGAGAGAGAGAGAGAGAGAGAGAGAGAGAGAGAGAGAGAGAGAGAGAGAGAGAGAGAGACUCACUUCCCCUUCCCUUCCAGCAGCAGUAUGUGCCCUAAAUGACUUGCAUGGCCAGCCCAAGGGAUCAGUUAAGGAUUGGGUACAGAUGCUCCAUUACUGUCACAUAUGCAUCCUGAACUACCUUACAAACAGCAUACCAAUUGGGUGUAACAAGGCUCUGCACAGGAGAGCAUGCAAAUUCAUGACAAGGAUAGCAAGAUGGGGAGCCUGUCAUAAGAGGGAAUUUAUCAUCUCUAUUUACUAACCCUAAAAAGUGGUGGAGCUUGGUGAGAGGCAAGGCAUCAUUUCCUUCAACUGCAUACAUCUAUUGUGUAUGACCUGCAGGGAGCUUGCCACCAGCCAAGCAAAAACCAACUUCACUCCUGCCUUCUCCCAGAAGAUUAAGAUCUGGUAAACAGGAGACAUUAAAGAUGUGCAGAGGUGCUAAUAUUUUUUUCUGGUGCUUCCUGUAGUUGUCAUAAUGAAAGGAGGUGCAGGUUACAUUAAUGCACAAAAUCCAUAAAAGAUCAGAGCCUGACAACUACUGACCAGUCUCCUUUCCCUCAACUGUUGGCAAGAUCUUCAAGAUGAUCACUGGAGAGCAGCUAAUGAGUAGCACCAAGGCAGUUGGGCUUCACAAAAGGAUCACCACCACCACCUCUUCCAGUGGGAAUGUACAAUCAGUAUGCCAAAUGACUUCAGAACUGCCAAUGUGAGUCACAUUGCACAAACUGGCAACUUGCUUCGACUUGGUCUGAAAAAAUCAGCUGUGAGAAAAUACCUACAUGGCAAAAUAGGGUGGUAGUCCCUUGUGUUUUUUUCAAAGCACAGAAUAAUGGAUUCAAUUUGACACAAGGAACUCCUGUAAUUAUUAUUUGUGACUGCUCCUUGCUUCAGCUAACAAAAGGGUCUUUUUUUUAAGCUUAAGAUUCUACAGGGUGUGUAAUGCAAGUUUUGCAAAUUCUGAGAGGUGAAAGAAUGUGUAAUUCUAAGUAGAAAAUGUUCUAUACACACUUGCAUUUUAAGGCUUUGUUUACCUGUCAGAGGAGCUGAAAAUGUAUGGGAUUUGCGAGUGUGCUAUGCAUAUAGCUAUGAGGUGACCAACAGACGGUUGCAUUGUCACAGUCAUGGAGAUGCCACUUGGUCAAAUUGUGAAUGGUUUAAUCUUAUUUUUUGCAAGCUGUGGAAUAUUACAGUAUCUUAUAACAAGACAAACAGUAUUAAAAAGCAUGUAAUGUACCAAUAAGCAUUACACAAUAAUAUUAUUGUAGUAAUUAAAAGUACUCCUUAAAAAUGUUACGUGGCAUCAUUGAAGCGAGGGAGGAGGAGGAAGCGAGUCCAGUUUGCAGAUUGCUACAAAGCGAAACAAGUCCACUUAAAUUUCCUGGUGGGAAAAUGACACAAACUGACUGCGACUGACAUGUCAUUGUCAGUUUGUCACUCACUCCCCCCUCCUCCCUCGCUUCAAUGAUGCCACAUAACAUUUUUAAGGAGUACUUUUAAUCACCACAAUAAUAUUAUUGUGUAAUGCUUAUUGGUAAAUUACAUGCUUUUUAACAGCAUUUAUCUUGUUAUAAGAUAUUGCAAUAUUCUACAGCUUGCAAAAAAUAAGAUUAAACCAUUCACAAUUUGACCAAGUGGUACCUCUGAGGCUGCAACAAUGCAACCGUCUGUCUGUUACUUCACUAGCUACAUGCAUAGCACACCUGAGAGUCCCAUACACUUUAAAACUCCUCUGACAGGAAAAGAUUAAAAUGCACAUGUGCAUAGAACGCAUUUUCUACUAAGAAUUACACGUUCUUUCACUUUCAGUAUUUGCAGAAAUUCGUGUUACACACUGAAUAGAGUUGCUGUGUGCCCAGAAAAUAUACAGACUGUGAUUACAUAGUACGAGUGUUAGUUUCCAAGAAUGACGAAGCAAUUUGAAAAAAUAAGCUGUAUGACUAUUAUUAGUGAAAAAAAGAUGGGAGGAUGUGCCUCACAACAGGCAUGAUAUCCCACCUCAAGAUUUUUUUAUUGUUUUACUGUAAGUCUCUUGAUACCAUUGAAGAUGUUAAAUGUUAUCAUUGGAGUGUGUGGGAUAUGGUGCGAGUUGGCAUCUGCAAGAUUGGUUUGGUUUCAUGUGCUUGCCAGCAAGUGAUGUGCUUUGAGGUGUACCUUGUGACUCCACAAUAACCUCAUCCAUGUUUCUUCCUUGCCUGGAGACCCUACAGGGGGUCAUCAGUGCUCACCACCUGGGGCAUGGUGAGUACUUGCAGAUUUUACAGCAGCUGGAGUUGAGCCAUUGUCAAUUUUAAAUGGUGGGUGGCAACUUUAUCUGCUGACACUGUACUCUAGGCUUUCUUUUAGUGGGACAUUCUGCAGGCUGUGAUAGGUGAGAGAAUGAGAGAAUAUGGUUAAAGUAGGAAGGUUAAAAUUAAGUUUCAAUUAAAAUACUAAUAAAUAUAUAUA